Molecule: ribosomal RNA, 461 nt
Filed under: uncultured bacterium
Lineage: Bacteria
Description: bacterial SSU rRNA
Rfam family: Bacterial small subunit ribosomal RNA
Source: RNAcentral
GGACCCGCACAAGCGGUGGAUGAUGUGGUUUAAUUCGAUGCAACGCGAAAAACCUUACCUACCCUUGACAUGCCUGGAAUCCUGCAGAGAUGUGGGAGUGCCCGAAAGGGAGCCGGGACACAGGUGCUGCAUGGCUGUCGUCAGCUCGUGUCGUGAGAUGUUGGGUUAAGUCCCGCAACGAGCGCAACCCUUGCCAUUAGUUGCUACGAAAGGGCACUCUAAUGGGACUGCCGGUGACAAACCGGAGGAAGGUGGGGAUGACGUCAAGUCCUCAUGGCCCUUAUGGGUAGGGCUACACACGUCAUACAAUGGCUGGUACAGAGGGUUGCCAACCCGCGAGGGGGAGCUAAUCCCAUAAAACCAGUCGUAGUCCGGAUCGUAGUCUGCAACUCGACUGCGUGAAGUCGGAAUCGCUAGUAAUCGCGGAUCAGCAUGUCGCGGUGAAUACGUUCCCGGGUCUU